GAUGAACGCUGGCGGCGUGCCUAAUACAUGCAAGUCGAGCGAACGGACGAGAAGCUUGCUUCUCUGAUGUUAGCGGCGGACGGGUGAGUAACACGUGGAUAACCUACCUAUAAGACUGGGAUAACUUCGGGAAACCGGAGCUAAUACCGGAUAAUAUUUUGAACCGCAUGGUUCAAAAGUGAAAGACGGUCUUGCUGUCACUUAUAGAUGGAUCCGCGCUGCAUUAGCUAGUUGGUAAGGUAACGGCUUACCAAGGCAACGAUGCAUAGCCGACCUGAGAGGGUGGUCCGCCACACUGGAACUGAGACACGGUCCAGACUCCUACGGGAGGCAGCAGUAGGGAAUCUUCCGCAAUGGGCGAAAGCCUGACGGAGCAACGCCGCGUGAGUGAUGAAGGUCUUCGGAUCGUAAAACUCUGUUAUUAGGAAAGAACAUAUGUGUAAGUAACUGUGCACAUCUUGACGGUACCUAAUCAGAAAGCCACGGCUAACUACGUG
Molecule: ribosomal RNA, 497 nt
Filed under: uncultured bacterium
Lineage: Bacteria
Description: partial 16S ribosomal RNA
Rfam family: Bacterial small subunit ribosomal RNA
Source: RNAcentral